CCUACGGGUGGCAGCAGUGAGGAAUAUUGGUCAAUGGGCGCGAGCCUGAACCAGCCAAGGAGCGUGAAGGAUGACUGCCCUACGGGUUGUAAACUUCUUUUAUAAAGGAAUAAAGUGAGGCACGAGAGCCUUUUUGUAUGUACUUUAUGAAAAAGGAUCGGCUAACUCCGUGCCAGCAGCCGCGGUAAUACGGAGGAUCCGAGAGUUAUCCGGAUUGAUUGGGUUUAAAGGGAGCGUAGAUGGGUUGUUAAGUCAGUUGUGAAAGUUUGCGGCUCAACCGUAAAAUUGCAAUUGAUACUGGCCGUCUUGAGUACAGUUGAGGUAGGCGGAAUUCGUGGUGUAGCGGUGAAAUGCUUAGAUAUCACGAAGAACUCCGAUUGCGAAGGCAGCUUACUAAACUAUAACUGACACUGAAGCACGAAAGCGUGGGGAUCAAACAGGAUUAGAUACCCGUGUAGUC
Molecule: ribosomal RNA, 460 nt
Filed under: uncultured bacterium
Lineage: Bacteria
Description: partial 16S ribosomal RNA
Rfam family: Bacterial small subunit ribosomal RNA
Source: RNAcentral